Molecule: transfer RNA, 77 nt
Filed under: Vibrio cholerae O395
Lineage: Bacteria; Pseudomonadati; Pseudomonadota; Gammaproteobacteria; Vibrionales; Vibrionaceae
Description: tRNA-Met
Rfam family: tRNA
About the family: Transfer RNA (tRNA) molecules are approximately 80 nucleotides in length. Their secondary structure includes four short double-helical elements and three loops (D, anti-codon, and T loops).
Source: RNAcentral
UACGGACGCGGGGUGGAGCAGCUUGGUAGCUCGUCGGGCUCAUAACCCGAAGGUCGUUGGUUCAAAUCCAGCCCCCG